This 442-nucleotide ribosomal RNA is filed under the name uncultured bacterium. RNAcentral describes it as "partial 16S ribosomal RNA". It matches the Rfam family "Bacterial small subunit ribosomal RNA", at positions 338 to 795 of the family's 1533-position model. The record is from RNAcentral.
CCUACGGGAGGCAGCAGUAGGGAAUCUUUCACAAUGGGCGAAAGCCUGAUGGAGCAACGCCGCGUGCAGGAUGAAGGCCUUCGGGUUGUAAACUUCUUUUAUCAGCGAGAAAUAUGAUGGUAACUUAUGAAUAAGGAUCGGCUAACUACGUGCCAGCAGCCGCGGUCAUACGUAGGAUCCGAGCAUUAUCCGGAGUGACUGGGUGUAAAGAGUUGCGUAGGUGGCAUAAUAAGUAGCCAGUGAAAUCUGGUGGCUCAACCAUUCAGACUAUUAGCUAAACUGUUAAGCUCGAGAACGUUAGGGGUAACUGGAAUUUCUAGGGUAGGAGUGAAAUCCGUAGAUAUUAGAAGGAACACCAAGAGCGUAGGCAGGUUACUGGGACGGUUCUGACACUAAGGCACGAAAGCGUAGGGAGCAAACGGGAUUAGAUACCCCUGUAGUC